GAUGAAGAACGCAGUGAAAUGCGAUAAGUAAUGUGAAUUGCAGAAUUCAGUGAAUCAUCGAAUCUUUGAACGCACAUUGCGCCCGCCAGUAUUCUGGCGAGCAUGCCUGUUCGAGCGUCAUUUCAACCAUCAAGCCCCAGGCCUGUGUUGGAGCCCUGCGGCUGCCGCAGCCUCCCAAAACCAGUGGCGGGCUCGCUAUCACACCGAGUGCAGUAGUUUACUCUUCGCUCAGGGCGUGUGGCGGGUGCUAGCCGUGAAACCCCCAACUUCUCAAGGUUGACCUCGGAUCAGGUAGGAAUACCCGCUGAACUUAAGCAUAUCAAUAAGCGGAGGA
This 334-nucleotide unclassified non-coding RNA is filed under the name soil metagenome. Its description in RNAcentral is "partial contains 5.8S ribosomal RNA, internal transcribed spacer 2, and large subunit ribosomal RNA". The stretch from base 1 to 120 matches the Rfam family "5.8S ribosomal RNA", at positions 35 to 154 of the family's 154-position model. The record is from RNAcentral.